CAGCAGCAGCAGCGAGUCGCUCGGCGCGCGGGAUGGAGCGGGCGAGCCGCGCACCACGACGCCGCCCCGCUGCGGCCUCCGCUACCGCGCUCCUGCCUCAGCCUCAGCAGCAGCAGCAGCCGCAGCAGCAGCAGCCACCAUCGCGCGGCGCGCCCACGGCCCCGAGGCGCCGCGACGAGGCGGGCCCCGGGCUGGAAGUGGAGGGCAACAUGCGCGCUGCCCAGCGGUCAUCGAGCUCCCUGGCGCCAGCCUGGGCACGGCGCGUGUCCGAGGUGGAGGCCAGGACCCCUGGCCUCGGAGCUUCCCACUCGCAGGCCCAGGCGGCGUUGAUGCUGGCGCAGGGCGCGAGACGGAAGGAAAAGAGAGGCGGCGCAACGAGCGGAGCGACGGCAGCAACAGCGCCACGUAGUGCAAGACAAGGAACGAAGCUCGAGUCAGGCGCAGACUGCGAGGAGGCGUCAGGGGCAGUUGGGGCGGAGCGGAGACCCGCAGAGAGGGCGGGUGCCAGCAGUGGAGCGGUGGGCACAAGCAGUGGUGCGGUGGGCACGAUGAGUGGAGCGGCCUGCUUGAAAGACUUGUGUCCCGAAGAUAAGCGUCGCGUCGCCAAUCUCGUUCGAGAGCUAGCCAGGUUGAGUGAGGAGAAGGAGCUAUGUGAGGACCGUCUCUCAGCGGAGACACUUUCGUAUCAGCAGAAGCUCCAGCAGGUGGAGGAGAGGCAGGAACUCAUUCUGAAGGAGAGGGAGGCCUUGCGAUUGCAGUACUCGGAGUGCCAGCAGCUGCUGCUUGCGUACCAGGAAGAGCUUUCUACGCGCACACACUUGAUCGGCAUGCAGGCCCGUGCAGAAAAUCACGCGGUCAGUAUUCACACGCGGCAAAUGGCAUCGUCAUUUGCCGAGCUGAAGUGGCUUACGCCUGUUAUUCGGAGUUGGGGAGGCAGUGAGGAUCGGGACUAACCAGGGCGGCCUGCAAGAAUCAAACCUCGAACCUCUGAACAAGUGACAAACACGUUACUACUGGGCCAUGUCACUGCCACGUGAGAUGAGGUUGCUAUGGAGCACGAGUUUUGUGCUUGAGAAUUAGAUCUAAAUGUAAUUUUAAAUAAGCAAGUGGAAAAAAAAUGAAAUAGAAUUCAUACGUACAACCAUACAUGCACCAACACAUUUGUUUAUAUAGUAAAAUUAUUGCAUAUUAUGGAUAACGAUAAAUGUAAAAAAUAGAGUUUGAACAUGAAUUCAGGUUCCUGAUCAACUUCAUCUUAAAACAGCUGUUUAAAUGAACUCCAUCCUUUUGCCGAUCACAUCCGGCAGUUCACUGGCAUUGGUUUCAGCAAGCCUGAAACCAGUCUCAGCGUUUGUUCUGUUCUCUUCCAGACAACUCCAGGGGCCCAGCCCUUUCUUGGUGCUGCUGAUUUUGGCAGCCCUCCCUCGGUCAGGCCACGUAUUGCGCUUCACCCGGCUCGAGACACAGACAGGCAAACUGAGACGUCGAUGGGAAGUCAGGCAGCAAUGGCACGUGGCUUUUACUCCCCGAGGGAAUAUGGAGUUGCCUAUGGGAACCGCACAGGUGCUCCAGCUGUAAUUAAUCCGGUAGUUCCUGCUGGAAUGCGGUCUGGGAAUGCACAGGGAAUCACAUCACAGUUGUGUCCCCCUCAUCAUGUGUCUUUAUCAGUGGGACAGGGGCAGGCAAACAGUUCUUACCAUGAGGCACCAUCAGCACAGGGUGGUGAGAUAGAGAGCAGGAUGCUUGCCAGACACCCACCAAAUGGGUUCACACUGCCGCUUUCUUUAUCUCCCUCGCAGAGUUCCCACCACCACGUAGCACGACCCAACUCCCAACAGCUGUCGGUGCACACCGUCCAUAAUGCACCCCAACGUAAUUCAGCAGCACAUAGCCCCCUGCAGAGACCGACACGCAGCCAUGCACGAAACGGGGGGAUUGGACAAGAUGGCAAUCCGAGGUUUGGCCCCGAGGCAGGUCCUGUCAGAACGGAGACACAAAAGGGGGGCUUCCAACCGCCGGGGUCGGUGAGUGUUGUUUCUUCCCCAGUGCCAAGACAAGGGACUACAGAUGGGGGACUGGUACCAGAAGUAGGAAAUAAAGGAACCCUUGUAAGAAGUGACGCUGGGAUGUUAAACAGCGACAGCAGGAAUCAUGCUAGAGAUGAAGGGAUGAUGAGGCAGAGUAGAGGUAGGAGGAGCGACACAGACUCAGGGUGGCAGUGUGAGGAGGGUGGAGUUAACGGACAGAAUGAGGAGCAGGGGGAGUGUGUUCCUGCUGAGCACUCUGCCAUUCCAACAGCAACUGUCCGGAGAAAUGUUCAUGAGCAGGGAGAGAUGGCGAGGGUCCCCGAGGACAUGCUUGAGAGCAGAUCGCGACGAGAAUACGAGCGAUUAGCGGACGUCAGUCAGGGAAGGGGCGGCAUUGAGAGGAAUGGCAGGAUGAAGGUGCUGCAGGAAUGUGAGAGAAAUGCCGGGAGAGAAAAUGUGAGCGAACUCGAAGAGGCAAGACCUGCAGUGCAAAGACAACGGCUGGAGUUGGAUGAGAGGAGGCAAGUUGAGGUGGGAGGUGAAGGUGGUACAAGUGACGGGGUGCGGAAUCGUGCGAGGGAGGUGCAAGAGGGGUGCGAUGGUCGUGGAGCCGUUGGGUCCGCACGCGCAACCAAGGCGGACGUGGAGAAGCAGCGGCGGGAGCUUGAAUGGGAGAGGGAGCGGCUGAGCCAGCUGCUGGCGCAGCAGGAGGCGCGAUUGGCAGCUGCACGAAAGCGACAUGGAGCACCCCCUCACUCGUGUGAAGAGAUGGCUGCAAGUUCCCACGUUCCCAGUUUUCUGCCAGUGCUAACGAGCUCUCCUUCACCCCAAAGGUACGAGGGGUCGGUGUACUCGCUGGGCGAGUCGCUGACUACCUCUCCGAGUCGUGUCAUCGGUGAGUGUUUCUUCAAGCCAACGAGACGACGCGGACCUGCGCCGGAGCCCUUCCAUCCAAGUGCAGUGCCGGGGACCUCAGGGGACAACUAUGAGGAAACGCGGCUGCUGGAGGAUGUCUUCUUUAUUUGCUGACUCUGUUUGGUGUGCGAUUGGCUACGCUGGUUCAAGACCAAUGGGUGUGAGCCUGGGAUGUCUACAUCCUGUCAUUUUGCUCUGAAAGCCCAAGUAUUUUCCAGCUCAAAUUAGCAAUGAAGCGUUGCUCAUCACCUGUUACAACCCUGAGCCAGUGGUGGAAAUGUCACAUUCACCUGGUGGGGCCGAGUUUCUCCAUUAGACAACCACUGUUGACUUCCCCACAAAGUGGAUACUCUUUUAAAGACCCAGGAAGGAUGUUGAGUUGAGUCGACCUCUGAACUAGAAUUGACCUCGGGGCCUUCCGAUUGCGAGCCACUCACUCUCCAUCUGAAUUACCUGGCUGAUAAUGAGAAUAAAAGCCUUUGCUGUUCUAGUCAAAUUUUUAUAUUAUAACAAAAAACGAUUGCUUCAUAUUUUGCAUACUCUGGCAUUUUCAUCACAAUUGGAUGAUGUUAACAUCAAUAAUAAGUUUGUGCUCGUUGCAUUUACAGUUUUAUUAUCCUCAAGAUUUUGAUGCAAUAUUUUCAUGAUUUUUGUACAUAACACUGUCAUAUUUUUGUAAAUUGUGUUCAAUUGACCUAUGAAGAAUACCAUUUUGUAUAUUAUGGAUGUAUACUUCUAAUUGUUUGGAAAUGUUUUUUUAAGAGUAAAAUAUUGCUAACUUAAGCUACUUUUGUUUUUUAAACGUUUUUUGAAAAAGUCAGUCUUGAGAGUAACGAAAGAAAAAUAUAUUGCACAAUCAUAACCGUUACUCCGGGGCAAGGGAAUGCAACCAAACUAACGAGAAGAGACAUAGUUUUCCAGUUCGGUACAAGAAUCCAUAUAAUUCAACAGUUGUGAAUACGAGAAGGUGGCCCUUGAGCUGCUUGCGGCUCCAGAGCCGUCUGUUACCGACCCCUGCCCCCCAGGGGCUCGCACAGUAUUAUUGUGAAGUUGACGCUUCAAGUUGUCACUCUUGAACGUGAACAAUCUGUUCUGGUCACCAUUCUAAGUGUGGUGUGAGCCUGAAGAUAAGUCUGCCAACCGCUUGCUCCACCCACGAUAUCAACAGCCACGGUUGUGAUAUCACUGCACAGCUGAUUGACAAUACAUUUCUUAUUAUUGAGCCGUAAAAAUUAUUUCAUUGUGUCCUGUCAAGGACGAGAUAUGAACUUUGGAGUCAACUUUGUAAAAAUUCCAAAUGGUGGAGCUAAUAGCAAAAAAAAAAAUUGCCCACUCGAUUCACUGUGUUAAGGUUUGAGCAUGGGGCAACUUGGACCAUCGAAAUGACUAGAGACACGGCGGUGGUCACCCCACUCGAGAUUGGUAUGCAACUGCUGCUCUUGUGUCGAUGAGUCAUUGAAGACGCGAGGAUAGAAACAAGCGAGUUGCGUUCACGACCAACAUUGCUCGCGGGCGCUUGGAUGGUCUUUGCCGCGCGAGUGGACAACUCAAAGUGUCCACACGGUGGCGCUUUGUAGUCGCGGAGCGAUCCAGUGUUGCCACCGUGCUGCAGCCGGGGAUGCGUUUCAGGUUCAAACAUUUAGAAUUGUGUUUUUUUUAUCGUCUUCAGAUGUAUGUAUUUGCAUACUGUAAUGUGCCUUCGUGAUUUUCAAAGUGACGUCACCUGAUGACAUCACUUUUGGAGGGAAGAGAAUGAAAGUGAAGUACUUGGGUCGAAUGUCUGCGUUGCUAUGAAUCUGAGAGCUGGGGCAGAUUCCUAUCCUUGAGUGGCAUCUUAAACGUUCACUUUUACUGUCUGCAGGAUUCCAACUGCGAUCUAUUGGGUCAGCAGGGGGCAUUUAUCAAUCUCCCAUUGAGCAAAGGUUUACUGCGCACACAUGAGAAAACUACAUUACAAACCUAGACACAAAACUGCAGUAUUCUGUAAUGAAGUUCAACACAAAACCAUCAGAUAUCGGUAGAAAUCCGUUCCUUGGUCAGCACAGAUGUCAAUUCUCAGACGGGUUGGGUUCUUAAAAUCUGAAAUUGUUCUUUAAAAUUUUGUGGGUGUUAUAAUACGUAACGCAAUAGUCAUGUUUGUCGUGGGGAAUCGAACAUAGAUCGGCAGACAAUAUAUUUUACACAACCCAUUGGCCCCACAGCCUUCUGUGAGUGCAUCAUUUCAGCAGUCUUUGAAGGAUACGUUUUGUAUGCUUACCAAUUAUGUGCGCAGUAUAUUAGGGUUGUCACCUGUCCCGUUUGAUCUGGACAGGUACCCAUAGGGCAGUGCAUGAAUCAGGGCGGCCUUCCGGUUUCGAACUGCGAAUCUCCAAUAAGCAGAGAACGCGCUACCGCUGGGCCCCCAAAUGGGCCAGCAUCUCCAUUCACCAGCGCUGCUGUCCAGCCACCACUCUGCAGGUCACCCAGACGACUUGCCCAGUCGCCACAGUGCAGGUCACAACAGCACUCACCCACCACACUCAUUCACCACGCGGAAGGUCACAG
RNA transcript from Lethenteron reissneri (Far Eastern brook lamprey), 5486 nucleotides. It is a transcript of the gene named KIAA1328 ortholog, with no coding region annotated. The record is from RefSeq and is a predicted model, not a curated record. Lineage: Eukaryota; Metazoa; Chordata; Hyperoartia; Petromyzontiformes; Petromyzontidae.